GAUGAACGCUGGCGGCGUGCUUAACACAUGCAAGUCGAACGGAAAGGCCCUGCUCUUGUGGUGUGCUCGAGUGGCGAACGGGUGAGUAACACGUGAGUAACCUGCCCUUGACUUUGGGAUAACUUCAGGAGACUGGGGCUAAUACCGGAUAGGAGCUCCUGCUGCAUGGUGGGGGUUGGAAAGUUUCGGCGGUUGGGGAUGGACUCGCGGCUUAUCAGCUUGUUGGUGUGGUAGUGGCUUACCAAGGCUUUGAAGGGUAGCCGGCCUGAGAGGGUGACCGGCCACAUUAGGACUGCGAUACGGCCCAGACUCCUACGGGAGGCAGCGGUGGGGAAUAUUGCGCAGUGAGGGGAAGCCUGAUGCAGAAGCGCCGCGUGCGGGAUGACGGCCUUCGGGUUAUAAACCGCUUUCGCCUGUGACGAAGCGUGAGUGACGGUAAUGGGUAAAAAAGCACCGGCUAACUACGUG
This 468-nucleotide ribosomal RNA is filed under the name uncultured bacterium. RNAcentral describes it as "partial 16S ribosomal RNA". It matches the Rfam family "Bacterial small subunit ribosomal RNA", at positions 28 to 507 of the family's 1533-position model. The record is from RNAcentral.